This 753-nucleotide ribosomal RNA is filed under the name uncultured Bacillota bacterium. Its description in RNAcentral is "bacterial SSU rRNA". It matches the Rfam family "Bacterial small subunit ribosomal RNA", at positions 28 to 749 of the family's 1533-position model. Lineage: Bacteria; Bacillati; Bacillota. The record is from RNAcentral.
AGCGAACGCUGGCGGCGUGCUUAACACAUGCAAGUCGAGCGCAGGCAUUUUAGGGGUAACCCUGAAGUGUGCUGAGCGGCGGACGAGUGAGUAAUACGUGGAUAACCUACCUUUAUGCCUGGGAUAACUCCGGGAAACUGGAGCUAAUACCGGAUAAGACCACGGUUUCUAUGGAUGCUGAGGUAAAAGGCGGCUGGGUAACUAGCUGUCGCGUAUAGAUGGGUCCACGUCCCACCAGGUAGUUGGCGAGGUAACGGCUCACCAAGCCUAAGACGGGUAGCUGGCCUUAGCGGGUGGUCAGCCACACGGGGACUGAGACACGGCCCCGACUCCUACGGGAGGCAGCAGUGGGGAAUAUUGGGCAAUGGGCGAAAGCCUGACCCAGCGACGCCGCGUGGGGGAUGAAGGCCUUCGGGUCGUAAACCCUUGUCAGGGGGGACGAUGGGUAUGUGAGCUAAUACCUCAUAUACUUGACGGUACCUCCAAAGGAAGCCCCGGCUAACUCCGUGCCAGCAGCCGCGGUAAUACGGAGGGGGCAAGCGUUGCUCGGAAUUACUGGGCGUAAAGGGUCCGUAGGCGGCUCCGUAAGUUAGAUGUGAAAGUUCAGGGCUCAACCCUGAAAUUGCAUCUAAAACUGCGGAGCUAGAGUCCAGAAGAGGUCGGCGGAAUUCCCGGGUGUAGCGGUGAAAUGCGUAGAUAUCGGGGAGGAACACCAGUGGCGAAGGCGGCCGACUAGUCUGGUACUGACGCUGA